CCUACGGGCGGCAGCAGUGGGGAAUAUUGCACAAUGGGGGAAACCCUGAUGCAGCGACGCCGCGUGAGUGAAGAAGUUAUUCGUUUUGUAAAGCUCUAUCAGCAGGGAAGAAAAUGACGGUACCUGAGUAAUAAGCCCCGGCUAACUACGUGCCAGCAGCCGCGGUAAUACGUAGGGGGCAAGCGUUAUCCGGAUUUACUGGGUGUAAAGGGAGCGUAGACGGCAGUGCAAGUCUGGAGUGAAAGGCGGGGGCUCAACCCUCGGACUGCACUGGAAACUGUAAGGCUGGAGUGUAGGAGAGGUAAGUGGAAUUCCUGGUGUAGCGGUGAAAUGCGUAGAUAUUAAGAGGAACACCAGUGGCGAAGGCGGCUUACUGGACUGUAACUGACGUUGAGGCGCGAAAGCGUGGGGAGCAAACAGGAUUAGAUACCCGGGUAGUC
This 440-nucleotide ribosomal RNA is filed under the name uncultured bacterium. RNAcentral describes it as "partial 16S ribosomal RNA". It matches the Rfam family "Bacterial small subunit ribosomal RNA", at positions 338 to 795 of the family's 1533-position model. The record is from RNAcentral.